GUUUACGGCGAAUCAGGGAUGAUUGCUCCGAUCGUCUGCACAGGUAAGGCUUCUACGGUUUUAUUCGAAUGUUACUUCAUCAGACUAGUAGCUAUUGUUGUGUGCCUAUUACAUUAUCGAUUACGAGAGUUUAAUCCGUUCAAGCUUCCCUUUGUGUCCACUUCAACUAGCACUGAUCAAAACGCGUAAACACUCGGCUGCACUAGUAGCGGACGCUCAGCGGAAGUAAGCGGCAGCCAACAACAACGUCUUAAUACUGGCUGUUGAUAUUUAAGAGACCUCCACCGAAGAUCCAUCACUUAUCGCAUCGUAUCGGCGCCAUAAACGUCUUACCUAAAAGAAAACGGUCGAUUAUAUUUAUAGGUAAUGACAGCACAGUUCGAUUCAUGCUGUCAUAAUAACACGCCUUUGGGCAUUAAUGAAUGCGAAUUACCAAGCUAUAACCUCGUAACGAUUCUAUCCGAUUGUGUUAAGUAAAUUGAAGG
Long non-coding RNA from Wyeomyia smithii (pitcher-plant mosquito), 485 nucleotides. RefSeq lists it as uncharacterized. The transcript has 2 exons. The record is from RefSeq and is a predicted model, not a curated record. NCBI's taxonomy places the organism in Eukaryota, Metazoa, Arthropoda, Insecta, Diptera, Culicidae.